UGCGGUUAAAAAGCUCGUAGUUGGAUCUCGGCAGGUAGGGGGCGGUUCGUUUCUGACGGCACUGCCCCUUUUACCUGUGUUUUUGCAAGAGGUCUCAAGGUGGCUUUAAUCGGCUGUCUUGGAACGCUUGCAGUUUUACUUUGAAAAAAUUAGAGUGCUCAAAGCAGGCUACAAGGCUUGAAUAUUUGUGCAUGGAAUAAUGGAAUAGGAAGUCGUUUCUAUUUUUUUGGUUUUCGGAAAUUGACCCAAUGAUUAAUAGGGACAGCCGGGGGCAUUAGUACUCAGACGACAGAGGUGAAAUUCUUGGACCGUUUGAGGACUAACUACUGCGAAAGCAUUUGCCAAGAGUGUUUUCAUUAAUCAAGAACGAAAGUUAGAGGUUCGAAGGCGAUCAGAUACCGCCCUAGUUCUAACCAUAAACAAUGCUGACUAGCGAUCCGUAGCUGUUUUCUAUGUAGGCUCUACGGGAAGCUUCCGGGAAACCAAAGUUUUUGAGUUCCGGGGGAAGUAUGGUUGC
RNAcentral lists this ribosomal RNA (517 nucleotides) under uncultured marine eukaryote. RNAcentral's name for it is "partial 18S ribosomal RNA". It matches the Rfam family "Eukaryotic small subunit ribosomal RNA", at positions 614 to 1132 of the family's 1831-position model. The record is from RNAcentral.